GAUGAACGCUGGCGGCGUGCCUAAUACAUGCAAGUCGAGCGAACAGAUGAGGAGCUUGCUCCUCUGACGUUAGCGGCGGACGGGUGAGUAACACGUGGAUAACCUACCUAUAAGACUGGGAUAACUUCGGGAAACCGGAGCUAAUACCGGAUAAUAUAUUGAACCGCAUGGUUCAAUAGUGAAAGACGGUUUUGCUGUCACUUAUAGAUGGAUCCGCGCCGCAUUAGCUAGUUGGUAAGGUAACGGCUUACCAAGGCAACGAUGCGUAGCCGACCUGAGAGGGUGAUCGGCCACACUGGAACUGAGACACGGUCCAGACUCCUACGGGAGGCAGCAGUAGGGAAUCUUGCGCAAUGGGCGAAAGCCUGACGGAGCAACGCCGCGUGAGUGAUGAAGGUCUUCGGAUCGUAAAACUCUGUUAUUGGGGAAGAACAAAUGUGGAAGUAACUAUGCACGUCUUGACGGUACCUAAUCAGAAAGCCACGGCUAACUACGUG
Molecule: ribosomal RNA, 497 nt
Filed under: uncultured bacterium
Lineage: Bacteria
Description: partial 16S ribosomal RNA
Rfam family: Bacterial small subunit ribosomal RNA
Source: RNAcentral